This is an RNA transcript of Nyctereutes procyonoides (raccoon dog), 4335 nucleotides long. It is a transcript of the gene named ribosomal modification protein rimK like family member B, with no coding region annotated. The transcript has 4 exons. The record is from RefSeq and is a predicted model, not a curated record. NCBI's taxonomy places the organism in Eukaryota, Metazoa, Chordata, Mammalia, Carnivora, Canidae.
UCAAAAAUAUGUAGCUCUAAGGCCAUGAAAAACACAGUUUUUUUCAUGGUCCCUUGCUUUUGCUUUUGUACAGUUCCUACAAAUUUUAGCAUAGCAUAACUCACAUUGUGUUGCAAAGAUGUAACGAGUGAGGAAAACAUCUACCUAAAUUACAGAAAUUUUUACAUGCAAAUCUGAAAAUUCUGACUUUACCAUAUUAACUAGCAACUUUAUGUUCAUAGUUUAUGAAAUCUUGAGCUCUUUUCCUGGGAUUUAUGAUUUUUGGUUUUCCCUUAAUUUGGGUGGGAGGGCAACAUUAAUAUGACCCAACAAAGGUCUUUUAAUGACAAAACUGGCAUUUUUGCAUGAUGGGGAAAUGAACAGUAUUGCAAUGUCUGGUACACAAAAUGAUAUUUACUCCAAUGUAGAUAAAAUUACACUAGUUUAAAAUAUGUGCAUUGACUUGUAUUUGUUAGUGUUUUAAUCUUUUUUGAAAGAUAUAUGCUCUGUUAAUGUUGCAAAUUUUUUUUAAUACAUGCUAGUCUAACAUUCCCUGAACUAUGCCUGCAUCUUUAACAAUGGCCAAAGUGAAGAAAGUGCUACCUUUUUUGUUAACAAGACACUGACUUGAAACAUGUGCAUUUAAAGCCUUUUCCUUUUUCCUUUUUUCUUUUGGUGGUGGGGCAUUUAAAGUAUAAGGACAUGGAAAAAUAUUUUUGGGGAGCAGAUCAAGGGCCUAUAAGUUCUUAAGCAUAAAAUUGAAGUGAUUUAUAAUACCAGCGUUAUAUAUUUGCAUUUUUCACAUUUUAGGAGGGAGUAUAUAUGUGUGUGUGUGCACGCAUGCAUGUGUAUGUGUUUUGCUUUUUGUUUACACCAACCGAUCAAAAAGGAUAGAUUCUAGAAAAUGGAGCAUGAUGGGGAAACAGUUUUACUUUAAAUAACAAAUAACUUGUUUUAAUAACUACACUGGGGUAGACGUACUCACUAAAGACAUAGAAUAGAUGCUUCUUAGGGUUUUUUAUGUAUAUGUAUGUUUGUUUUUUUUCUUUGGUUCUAGACUGUUCAGUGUAUGAUUUAUUCAAGGCUACAUGCUUUUCUCUGCUUCUGGCUGUGCAUUUUCUGUUACACGUAGGUUUUAGGGGGGUGGACUGGAUGUUUUUGUUUGGGGACUUAUUUUGCAGUGUUAAGUCUCUUAUAGCCCAACUCUGAAGCCUUCAAUACUGUCCACUCUUUAUAUUCCUUUAAUUUCUGAAGUUAUAAAAGCCCCAGAAUGGCAUAUAACACGAGCCUUUAGAACAUGGGUAAAUCUAUUUGAAUAAUGGUUUAGAAGGUGUGUUAAGAAAUGGAGAUGCUCCAGAGCUCAACGUAAUUUUUUUAAACAGCAAGUUCCAUCUCACUACAAUCCUCUGAAGCUUUUACCCGAGUCCUUUCUUGCCUCUCCAGUGCUUUUUUCCUUCAGAUGGACCUUAAACAUAAUUUCUUGGACACUACUAGAGAGACUUCAAGGCAAUAAUAAAAGAGCAGUAUUAACCAGCUCUAACAGAGGUUUGAUCAUGCUUGUACAGUUUUCCCCCGUUUUAAAAAGGAAUGUAAUAAAAUUUGUUUUUUUUUCCAUAGAAUUAAAUAAUAUUAAAAUUGAGUGAAAGGUUGAUUGCUGGCAAAUAGAAUAGUACCUCUAAUCUGUGCAGUGUCUCAUUUCACCUCAGAAAAAGAUGAUAAGAGGAUUUUCUAAUUUAUUUUAAGAUAUUCUAAUCUCAUUUAAAGAAUUUGACUUGCAUAGGGUUAUUGUGGGCCUUACUGUGUGUGUGUGUAUAUAUAUAUAUAUACACACAUAUCUAUGUGUAUAUAUACAUACAUAUAAAAGUACCUCUGACUCAUUAACAGAAAGAAACACUUGGUACUUCUUUCACUGAUCAUAGGAGGAUGCAUAAUAUUUGGGAUAGAGAAAUAAAUGAGGGAGAAAGAAGUGCUUAAUUAAGUCAUUAUUCAUAUGUUUGUGUAGAAACCAUCUGGUUGUCGCAUAAUGAUACAUUACUUGCAUAUUACAUGCAUAUAGAUUUACCAGUUUUUAAAACAAAUAGAACACAUACACAACUUUGAUGAAAAACUCAGGGUUUCUGUUGGGUGGGAUAAGGUGUCAGGAAAAAUGUAGAUAGCCUUUAAAAACAUUUUAUCAAACUAACCAAAUAUAAGAAUUAUUGGAGACUAUUUCACCUUUAGUUUUAUUCACUACUGAUCAAUCUUUUGUGCAUUCACACUAUAUUAAAACAUAGCUUUACGAACCUAUUUCUGGAUUUGCACUCACAUGUUAGAAUGAGAAGGGUAGGAAUGGUCAUCUUAGGGUUUAAAACAUGAAUAUCUUCUUGAACUCCCUCAAAAAUUAAGGUAAAGAAUAUGAACAAAUCAUUCUGGAAGAACCCAAAUGAAACACCCCAGAUAUUUAAGUGAAAGUUAAAUAUAUUUUCAUAUUGUUGAAUAACUUUUGUAUAAUCUUCAUUGCUAUUAUGAGAGAUAAAAAUGUAUUUAUUAAAUAUGUAUAAUUUCUAUCAUGCCCAUAUCUGAAUUAUUGUAAAAUUGUAUAUUGUUAAAAUUGUGAUUCUUAAUUGUAUUUUAAAAGUAAUUCUUUCUGCUAUUGUUUUUAUGUUACCUAUGAUGAAAAUUGGACUACACACACACACACGCACACACACACUAUUCAAUUUAAAAUUUUUAAUAGUUUUUUUCUUUUUUUGGUGCCUAAUAAUUGGUCAUUUCUGCUGGCUUUUGCUCCACUGAACUUUGAAAUCUUUCUGUACAUGCUAUCAAUAAGAAAAUAUGCUGGAACAUUAGAAAAAAACCACCAAGAGACUUGAUUUCAUCAAGCACUUUAUCAGACUUUUGAGAAGGUAUCGAAGGCAUUGAGAGAAUUGACUUUCAAAAUCAUCUUUUUCUCAAGAAGAAAACAAUGGAAAACAAAUUCUCUUCAUUCAGUGAAUCCUCAGUUUGGGGUCUGGGGAGCUUAGAGACAUUGUGAAAUCAAAUCUUGUGUUACAUUUUUCUCCUGGCUCACUCUUUUUGAGAAGGUUUAUGGGCUAUAUGGCUGGUGAGACACGAUCCCCUCCUAAGAAAAUCCUUUUCAGGAGCCAAAAAAACAAAAACAAACAAACAAAAAAAUACCCAGAGAAAAAACUUUCCUUCUUCCCCCUUCCUGAUGAUGAGUGAGAAGUAUUGAGAACUUUCGGGGUCAGUGCCCUUCUAAACUCCCCUUCCCCCAAUAAUGCAGCUGUAUAAUGAAUGGUAAAUGCAGCGGUUUGGAUUCAGGCACAGCCCCAGCCUGCUUGCAGCAGUGAGAUAAACUGGUAGGUGGCAGCAGAAGAAGGAAUUCUUCAGAUUGAUGGCUACGGAAAGGAUCUACAUAGAAGAGAUAGAGCAUAACAUAUCAAGUCAAGCAAAGGGGGCAUAAAGUGGAAACAGGACUAAAAUUUUUGGAUUUUGACUAAAUGGUUCUUUUGAAGUAACCAGUGAUCAUUUUUGCUUAUUACUUCAUUCACAGAAUGGACGAAGAUAGAUUUGACUGUAUGUCUUUUGAAAUGGAGGAUAGAAAUACCCAGAACAAGGAAGCAGUAGCUCUAACCUUUUUGAUUCAAUGUGUUUCCUAAAAUAAAAAUAUCAGAACUGGGAAUUAAAUAGUAUGGAGUAUGAUUUGUUCCUUUGGCAGUUAUUCCUGCCCACUCCAUCAUACAUGAAUUCACUUUAGACUGUAUGGCUAGACUUGAACUCUAGUUCCACAUGUAUCAUUCUCUUUAUUCUUUUCUUCACUUUGUGAACUCCUUUGGUUCUUGACAUACUAAUUUUUCUAUAAUAUAAUAUAUAUUCUGAAAUGAUUACUUCUCCUCUUAGAACAUAGGCCCUAAAAUAUGUAUAAUUUUACAUGUAAAUAUGUAUUACAUGGAUUUACCCCUGCCUCUCUCCAUCCAAUUUUAUCUGUCCAUGCUGAGUAAGUGUUUCUAUGUUUUUUAAUUUCUGAAGAAAUGCAGCCUUUUUUCUGUUUCACUCUGACAGGGCUCUGGCAUAUGCUUAUCACAGCAUCACUCAUUAUAUUUUAAUCUUCUUGUGACUAGAGGCUGUAUCUGACCCACUAUAUUUGAACUAUAGAAGAUCUGAUACAUACAUGUGUAUACAGAGGCAAUCCUAGUACUUAGGACAAAAAAAUACUGAUAUUCUUUGUAGUCAGGUAUUGAUACAAAUCCUAAUUCCAUUAUUUACUGGUUACAUGGACUUUGGACGAAUCACCCUCUUCAAACCACAAGGGAGUAUUUGUGAAAAUUGGAAAUGAAUGUACCUACAUUACUAGAUUCAUGUGUAAGUACAGUUUUG